UCGAUGGUUACUAGGUGACUCCGCCCGACCCCGCCUUCUGCAUGUUUUCUUGCUUUAGGUUAUUGGCUUCACUUCCUAUUGGGCCUUUUUAGAAGGAAUUAUCAAUCAAACCUGAGGCUGGGCAAAUGAAAAGAUUGAGGGAAGGAGGAACCGGUGUUGUCUGAUUGAAGAUGGAUUGAUGAGGGCUUUAUUUACCAAGUAAAGGGCGGAUUUGAGAAAGUGGAUAAUCACACCCCGGCCACGCGGACGGAAGUGCUAAUCUGGACCAGUGGCAAGGGUUGAAGGUUGAAAUUUGGUGUAGAGAUCACCCAAGAGAGUGUCUUAUAGGGAAACACACGAGACCAGGAUAAAGUGGUUGGAGGAGACAUAAGAACCAUAGGCUGAAGAAGACAAUGGAGACCGGGAAAUGUGUUACAGAGAGAUUGGAGAAAGGGUUCUAGGUCUCCGGCAGGUGCUAAGUUCAGGAGAAAGACCCAUGACCAGCUGCAGCCUGAGCUUCAAGAGCCAUUCAGAAAGGUGGCCUGUGUGUUUGUGUCUAAGUGUUCAACUACUUGCUCUGCUUAUCUUUCCCAGCUCACCCCAGAUCUGCUCACUGAGCCCCACACCGCUCUCUGGCUUACUCUACCAAGAACUCUUAACUCUCCUUCACCUGGCUCUCCCCCGUCCUUCGAGACCAGCCUCCAAGUCAGCCUCUCUCAGAUAAGCUUUGCCAAUCGCUCCACCAUCUCCAUGACCCUCUCUCUGUCCCUAGUACACUUUUCAACUGAUACAUCUCUGUCUUGUUCUCCGCGGUUUAUGCAUUUAA
RNAcentral lists this long non-coding RNA (805 nucleotides) under Mus pahari (shrew mouse). RNAcentral describes it as "lncRNA (MGP_PahariEiJ_G0003386.1)". The record is from RNAcentral. Lineage: Eukaryota; Metazoa; Chordata; Mammalia; Rodentia; Muridae.